Molecule: ribosomal RNA, 239 nt
Filed under: uncultured bacterium
Lineage: Bacteria
Description: partial 16S ribosomal RNA
Rfam family: Bacterial small subunit ribosomal RNA
Source: RNAcentral
GACAGGGGGGGCAAGCGUUGCUCGGAAUUACUGGGCGUAAAGCGCGUGUAGGCGGACCUGCAAGUCGGACGUGAAAGCCCUGGGCUCAACCCAGGAACUGCAUCCGAAACUGCGGGCCUGGAGUGGUGGAGAGGGAAGCAGAAUUCCUGGUGUAGAGGUGAAAUUCGUAGAUAUCAGGAGGAACACCGGUGGUGAAGGCGGCUUCCUGGACACUUACUGACGCUGAGACGGCGAAAAGC